RNAcentral lists this transfer RNA (102 nucleotides) under Xylaria telfairii. RNAcentral describes it as "tRNA-Met". It matches the Rfam family "tRNA". From Rfam's summary of the family: Transfer RNA (tRNA) molecules are approximately 80 nucleotides in length. Their secondary structure includes four short double-helical elements and three loops (D, anti-codon, and T loops). Further hydrogen bonds mediate the characteristic L-shaped molecular structure. tRNAs have two regions of fundamental functional importance: the anti-codon, which is responsible for specific mRNA codon recognition, and the 3' end, to which the tRNAs corresponding amino acid is attached (by aminoacyl-tRNA synthetases). tRNAs cope with the degeneracy of the genetic code in two manners: having more than one tRNA (with a specific anti-codon) for a particular amino acid; and 'wobble' base-pairing, i.e. permitting non-standard base-pairing at the 3rd anti-codon position. Lineage: Eukaryota; Fungi; Ascomycota; Sordariomycetes; Xylariales; Xylariaceae. The record is from RNAcentral.
GUCUUCGUGGCUCAGUUGGCUAGAGCGUUGGUCUCAUAUUCGUAUGAUCCAGUCGUAGACUGGGAUAUCCAAAGGUCGUGAGUUCGAGCCUCACCGAGGACA